CUGAGGCAAAAGGAUCACAGAUGCUGCUCGGGGCCAGCCCUAUACUCCCUCCAGUGCCUGGACUCCCGUGGACCCGCGGGGCUCUGCAGUUCUCAGACGGCCGCGCCUUGUGAGCGCUAAGCCGGGAGGAGGGCGCAGGCAGGGCGCACAGCUCUGAGCGCGCCCCUACCCGGCUCGGGCCCGCAGCAGCCCCGACUGUCCGAGAGCCUCUCCGCAAGCAAGGCUCUGCGCCGCCCUCUGAGCCCACCUCCUGGCCACAACGCCGCCUGCGCUUCUCCAGCCCAGGCCGGAAGCCCUACGCUGCCUCCUGAAGCCGGACUUUCUGGAAGCCCAUCUCCGUAUGCUCACCAGCCCACCCUCCUACGCUGGUCAGAGUGAGAUUGCUAACCUCAAGACCCCAUUCAAUGCCAGCUUUCAACUGCUGCUGAAGACCAAUGUAGGUCCUGGAUUAGAAGAACCGCAGAGUAUCCGGAGCUGGCCGACCCCAGACUGAUUCUCAACAGGUGGCUGGCGAUCAGAGGAGAAUGGCCAGGCUGAGGGGGAAGCGAGGAACAUAUGGGCCCAAGUAGGAUCCUGAAAGAAUUUCGAGAUGCUCCGAGCCCAAAUCAUACAGGCUCUAAGUAUUGGUCAAUAACCAGGAGUGAAACAGAAACUUAGACCACACACUCAAGUCCUUCUUUCUGAAUGAGGGGCUCCAGUGCUAGGCCACAAGUGGCCGCUAUGGACGCUGCAUCAUGGAGUCUCACCUGGUCCCUCCUUCAACCACGCACCUCAGACGGCAAGGAGAGCUAGAUGAGAAGGAGCUGGGGCUCUUGCGAUCUGCAGAGGCAGCACGCUGGUCAGGAGGAACCCAGAACACCUGCCUCAGACACAGCCAGUUUGUCCACACACAAAAGGCAGGGACCCUCAGGGCUGAGGGGCUAUUAAGUCAAACCUGGAGUCACAGCCCCAAUGUCCUCAGACGGUCCCCAACCCUCUGCAGCAAUGUGGACAGUGUGCCUGAAAAGCUUCUUCUCUGAGCUUUAACAACUUUCUGGUGUAACUUCUGAGAGGGCUGAUUGCUUAUUCAUGUGGAAGCAAGACGCCCAGUCCGUUUUGCCUGUUUUUGCUACUCUUUGUUGUCUCGGGGGGAGUGUUAUGGUAGCUGCAAAUGGCUUCUCCAGUGACAUUUGCUGACAUUCAGUGAAGUACAUUUAUCAGCGCUUGCGAGCUCACCUCCGCACAUGCAAUCCAUUUUGUUUUGUUCUUCAUGGUAACCCCCUUCCCAAC
Molecule: long non-coding RNA, 1269 nt
Filed under: Mus caroli (Ryukyu mouse)
Lineage: Eukaryota; Metazoa; Chordata; Mammalia; Rodentia; Muridae
Description: lncRNA (MGP_CAROLIEiJ_G0013489.1)
Source: RNAcentral